AGUGGUCCGAAGACAGUGGGUUACCGACCAAAUACCCCAUUGUCGCUCCCUUGACCACUUUU
Molecule: microRNA precursor, 62 nt
Filed under: Panagrellus redivivus
Lineage: Eukaryota; Metazoa; Nematoda; Chromadorea; Rhabditida; Panagrolaimidae
Description: microRNA prd-mir-5960 precursor
Source: miRBase by way of RNAcentral